ACGGCCAUCCCGCACCGCCGCCGCCUAGCGCCGCAACCCGGCCGGCAGCCGCCGCCGGGAUGCUGGGAGCCGCACAGGCCGUUUCAAUCGAGAGCUAGAAGAAGGAGAUAAGGUAGUUUUGCAAUAAGGCCCCUGAAGAUCCUGUAAAACUUUAUCCCUUUUCUUGUUUAUCGCAUCUUUCACAAUAACCCCCUGUGUAGAUUAGAUUCUCACAAACAGAUCCAACCCGAGCCCUUUUAUAGAUCUAACCCUGAUCUUUGAUCUAAUCACGAGCUCUGCACCUUAUGUCUUGCCAAUAUUUCUUUCUAACCCCUGAGAUCUAUAGUUAAUCCUGUUUAGAUCCUUAGAACCUUGUUUAGUCGGUAGAUUACACGUUUUAGCUCCGUUUCUAUCCGUUCAAGUUGCGUUAGGUUCAUAGCAACAUAAAAUACACGUUAGAAGUGAUGUUGUCCAUCAUUUCAUCUCUUUAAAAAUAAAUUUAAUAUUAAUUUGAUUAAUGCCUGAUAAACAUGUGUAUUCUCUAAAUAAAAGCUACAUGGAGUUAUACACCGCUUUUCAUAAUAAACAUCAAUUUGAUUAAUGCUUACUUCAUAUACUCUUCUAAAUAAAAGCCAAUUAGGUUAUAUAUCGGUUUUUCAUAAACUAAAGUUAAUUUGAUUAAUGCUUAUCUAAAUGAUUCUUCCAAUUAAAAGCUAAUUAGAGAGAUACCUCGACUUUUCAUAAAUUAAAUUCAAUUUGAUUAAUGUUUAUUCAAUUUGCUUCUAAAUAAAAGCUACAUAUGUUAUAUCUUAAUUUUUUAUUAUUAAAUGUUAAUUUGGCUAAUAUAAAUACAAAGGUGUUUUUAAUAUAAUCUUCUUAAUUGAACUCGAAAUAUAAAAUUAGAUGCUUAGAUACUUUUACAUGCUUCUUCUAAACUCAAAUGUUAAUUUACAUAAAUUGUACUUAAUAUUUAUAAAUAAAAUUGGACUAAGCUUUACAUUGUUUUUUCUUAUGUAAAUAUAAAUAUGACUAGAUUAAUUCUAACUAAGGGUAUUUCGUUGAAAUAUCUUUAAAUUAUUUUUCUCAACAAAAAUAAAUGCAGUAAGUAGCUCUUGUCUUUUUUUUAUACUUCAAAUCUCUCGAUAGCUUUAUCUUUUCAACCAUAGUUCUGUUUUAAAGUGUUUCUUGCGUUUGCGUGAUCCUUAGAUCGAGCCCUACCCUUUUAGUACGCUCUUUUAAAGCUUUUCUUUUGUUUGGGUGUGAUGUUCUUAGUUGUACUUGUUUGUUUGCUUGUAUGUUAGUGCUGAUGUUUACUUCGAGUAGAAGGAUCGUUAUUCGAAAGCUUUGAAGAGCAAGAGUUUCAAGAAAGCAAGAGCCGAAGAGCAGUAAGAGUAACUUGUCGUUGGAUAAAGGCAAGUGUGUCCUUGUGCUUUUGUCCCAAUAACUUUAUUAAUCACUAUUGCAUAUUCUUGCAUUUAAUUUGAUGGGGUCCUAUUAAGGUUUGCCUAAUUUUUAUAAUGAUUCCUUAUCAUGGGUUUAUCAUUCGGUUUGGUAGCUAUGCUUAGCUGUUAUACUUGGGUUACGGUGGUUAUAAUGAACUUAAUGAUUAACUUAUUUAUGCUAUACCUGUGGUAAUACAAGAUCACAAUGAUUAAUUAGAAUAUGGAGAACCACCCAGGAAAAUAGUGCAUCCACAAGAACUAUCAUGACUCUAGUCUUGAAUAAUUAAUUAGAGACUCUAAUCUGGGGUAAUCUUACUGAAAGGGCAAGAGGGACGGCAGUUGAUGGGGUAUAACCCGAUCCUUUUGGGGAGUGGGCUUUGCUAAGACACCACGCCCACUAUGGUGGCUUAUGCACACUACUGCUCCGGAAACCUUAGCAACUUACCACUUAUUAGAGAAUCUUUGUAAAGGCCUCGUAGCGACCCUAUGCAAUCACACCUUGGAAGUGUGGUAUUGUGCCUGAUCAGCACAACAUGGUUGGGUCUAAAGUUCUUUUGAACUUUUACGCGACUUGUGAGUAAAGAUGUGCAACCUUUGCAGAGUGUAAAACUGAUCGAUCAGUCGUGCUCAUGGUUAAUAGCAGUCUGGACCCUCACAUGAUUAAUAUACUUGAAGAAGAACUUAAAUCGUGGUUGUGGUUGUGCCAUAUGUUUAUGGUUAUGUUUCUAUUAAUUGUAGGUUGGUAUAUACUUAUAUCUUAGUAAUUCGAUAUUAAUAAAUUUGACCAAGUAAAAAUACUUAAUGCAGUCAACUAGCCAACCUUUUCUUGUUUAGGCCUUGCAUUCAUAUUUUUUCUCCACACUUGCUAAGUACAACAUGUGCUCACCCUUGCUAUUACCAACGUUACUCAGAAGAAGAAGCUGCUAUGAAGAUGUUGUGAAGAUGAUGCUGAGUUCUAGAUAUACGCAACCCCCAAUCAUUUGCCUGUGAAGUUGGGAGCCCCCGUUUCUAGGGUUUAAGUUGUGUAUCUCUUAGUCUCGUAACUCUUUUUUAUCUUUUUAUGUGAUACUGUUACUGUUAUUCACUAAUGAUGUCACUAUAUAUAUGAAACUUGAUCCUGGC
RNAcentral lists this long non-coding RNA (2543 nucleotides) under Setaria italica (foxtail millet). Its description in RNAcentral is "long non-coding RNA (SITA_LNC001008)". Lineage: Eukaryota; Viridiplantae; Streptophyta; Magnoliopsida; Poales; Poaceae. The record is from RNAcentral.